UGUAACAUGAAAUAGUGCUAAGGAAAAUAGUUAUACAGUGUUAAGGAAUCGAGAACUUAUUAAUGACAUGAAGAAAAUAGAAAAACUACUUAAUUCUCAUAACCCUUUUAACCCAGUGUUAGCUCGAUGCAGUGUUACCUGAAAGAGCCAGUGUACAUGCAAAGUUAAGUAGCGUUACAGUGCAAACACCUCCAUGUUUCACAAGUGAUUUAAGAGAAAAAGAACUAAAGUUCAUUACUCCUUCAACCCGGUGUUACGUGAAUGGGUGAGUGCAGUGUUGUGAUUGCCGUUUCCCUCUCCAUGGCUGGCUGGCUUCGGUGCUGGCGAGGAUACACUCACUCCUACUCCGCCUCCGACUCAUCGCUGCCUCGUUAAUGACUAAAUUCUUUAACGUCGUCACGCCAUACUGCUGACGUAAAAGCAAAGACCGAGGGCACUGUUCGAAGACGUGACGCUCCGUUUGAACUUCACCACAGAUGCAAAGUCUUUCCUCCAGCGGUAGACGACCACGACCCCGCCGGUUCAAACGCCUUUCUUCUAUCGCCAAAGAAUGACCACCUAAACGUAAUCUUGACCAAGAUAUUCUUUCAAAUUCUUUAACGCUUACAUUCGAAUUGUAAAUUACAUGCACGUCUAAGCUCUGAUUUAGUG
Molecule: long non-coding RNA, 651 nt
Organism: Portunus trituberculatus (swimming crab)
Lineage: Eukaryota; Metazoa; Arthropoda; Malacostraca; Decapoda; Portunidae
Exons: 3
Source: RefSeq, a predicted model, not a curated record